UUUAAAUAUGGGUUUUUAAGAAAAUCAUUAUAUUUUAUUUUUUUCAUCAAAUUUUAAGAGAAUAAUAUUAGUAUAUAUUAGACAUAAUACAAAACUGGAAAAAAUGCGGUAUAGUUCUGAUUUUAUAUCUAACUAGAAAUGAAAAUUGUGCAAGCUAAUUCAUUGGUGUAUUGUUUCUUAUUCAGAAAACAGCAUCUGUGAGCCAGGUUUUCUCGUUGAAUCUAAAAUAUAAUUGUUUCAAAAACUUCUCAGCUAAAUACAGCAAGAAAAUAUAUGUCUUCACUAACACACACAGACACACACAUACAUACACACACAGUUCAAUAAAUUCUCUGUAACCAUAUUCAUUUAUAAAAAGCUAAAAAGCUAAAUAUGAGUUCAUACUGAUGCCUUCACCUCAAAUCCAUUACCAUAUUGACUAUUCUGGACAACUUCUUUGCUCGUAUUUGUAAUAUAUGUUCUUAGUCCAAUAGUAAGAACCCUGGCUCCCACAUCUGCCAUCCAUUAAUUCAAUUGUUCAGUUCCAGUAUAUAUGUUUAUUGAUGUAAGAAUUUUUAACCCAUACCUCUAUUGGAAAAAUGUUAUCAACUAGAGAACAGUACAUAUGUAUUACAAACUAAAAUUCAUUUCCAAAGUUGCGUAAGAUGGCAACUUUUCCCUCCACUCCCUUCACUGAGGUUGUUUAAUACAUUUGAAGUGCAGUUAUAUUCUCUUGUCACAAUCUGCAUUCCUUCCAAGAUCCCAUGUUUUUCCAAUUAUUUUUAAAUGUUGCAUAGAUUAUUGUUUACUCUUUUUGCUAUAGUUUUGUAAGUUUUGACAAAUACAAAACUUCUUAUAUGCAAUAUUAAAGAAUUAUACAGAUUAUUUUAACUGCUUUCAAAAUCUCUUGCACGUCAUCUAUUCAGCCUUCCUCCCUUUCUCCUGAAUGUAUGCCAACCACUGUUACUUCUACCGUUUCUGUAUUUUUUUCCUUUUCUAGAACACUAUAUAAUUGGAGGUGUAUAGUGUGUAGCAUUUACACACUGGCUUUCUUCUCAUAGCAAAUAUCCGUUGGUUUCACUCAUUCUUUUCUUGGUUUAAUAGCUCAUUUAUUUUUUCCCUGAAAAACCUUCCAUUGAAUGAAUGGAUUGACCACAGUUGGUUUAUUCAUUAAUCUACUGAAAGACAUUUCAGCAAAUUCGAAUUUUGGACUCUUAUAAAUAAAGCUGCUAUAUGCUUUCAUAUAAAGUGUCUUUAUUUGCUUGUUUUUGCUUUGAUAUUUCUUGGUUUUGUAGAUGUAGGCUUGCAAAUUAAUAAAUACCUGGAAGUGUAAUUUUUGGAUAUUAUAGUAAAACUAUAUUUGGUUUUUGUCUUAGUUCAUUUUCUGUUGCUAUAACAAAAUAUCAUGGCCUGGGUAAUUUGAAAAUAAAACAAAUUUACUUUCUAAACGUUUGGAAGCUGGGAAGUCCAAGAACAUGGUGCUAGCAUCUGCUGAGAGCCUUCUUACUUUGUUAUAGUGUGGCAAAAAUGCAAGCGAGCAUGCAAGAGAGAAAGAUUAAAUUGGGCCAAAUUCCUCUUUCUCAUGAGCCCUCUUUAUUAUGAGCUCACUCCCACAAUAACUAACCCACUCCUAAGAUGGCAGCAUUAAUGUAUUCAUGAGAUAGAAGCCUUCACAAUCUAACGACUUCUUAAAGGCUCCACCUCUUCAUGCUGUUACGUUGGCAGUUACAUUUUAAUAUGAGUUUUGGAAGAGACAUUCAAAUCAUAGUAUCUUUGUAAGAAACUGCCACUCUCUUCUAAAUUGACUGUACAUUUCACUUUCCCACCAUCAAGGAAUGGAAGUUCAUGUCACUCUACAUCCUUGACAGCAGUUAAUAUGAUGGCCGCAAAAACUCCAGCCAUCACAUGGGUGUUUCAGGCAGGAAGAAGGGCAUGAGCAAAAGGAGAAGUAUUCUGGAUGGCUGAGCCCAUGUGCAUUUCUUUCUGACUUCUGUCUUCAAUUUAUUGGCCAAAAUGUGAUAUAUGAUAAGAGAAGAUGAGAUAACAAUUAUUAUUUAAAAGCGGGCCUUCCUAACUUUACAAGCAAAAGCAGAAUUUUGUGCUAAGAAAGAAGAAAAUACAUUUGGUGAGCAUUUAGCAGUCUUGCUGCAUUUAUCAGUGAAAGAGAAACUUGUCUUGAUAAUCAGCUUACUCUGAAUAAAAAAAAGAUAACAUAAGUGGGG
RNAcentral lists this long non-coding RNA (2201 nucleotides) under Homo sapiens (human). RNAcentral describes it as "HSALNT0271982". The record is from RNAcentral. Lineage: Eukaryota; Metazoa; Chordata; Mammalia; Primates; Hominidae.